UACAGAGGUCCCAAGCGUUGUUCGGAUUCACUGGGCGUAAAGGGUGCGUAGGUGGUGAAGUAAGUCGGAUGUGAAAUCUCGGAGCUUAACUCCGAAACUGCAUUGGAAACUACUUUGCUCGAGGGUUGGAGGGGGGACUGGAAUUCUCGGUGUAGCAGUGAAAUGCGUAGAUAUCGAGAGGAACACCAGUGGCGAAGGCGAGUCCCUGGACAACUCCUGACACUGAGGCACGAAGGUCAGGGGAGCAAACGGG
RNAcentral lists this ribosomal RNA (253 nucleotides) under uncultured bacterium. Its description in RNAcentral is "partial 16S ribosomal RNA". It matches the Rfam family "Bacterial small subunit ribosomal RNA", at positions 524 to 776 of the family's 1533-position model. The record is from RNAcentral.